RNAcentral lists this long non-coding RNA (494 nucleotides) under Brassica napus (rape). RNAcentral describes it as "long non-coding RNA (BNAP_LNC020653)". The record is from RNAcentral. Lineage: Eukaryota; Viridiplantae; Streptophyta; Magnoliopsida; Brassicales; Brassicaceae.
GUCGUCAAAAACACACACACAAUAAUAGCAUAUGUCAUUUUCGUGAAAAUAAAAAGGAAAAAUUAAUGUACUGGACACAGAUAACAUGAGUAAUUCAAUCUGAACUGAUAUAAAUAAAAGAGGAGACGCGUAUGGAGAUUUGAUUAAGUUCACGAAAAAGCGGUAGAAAAGAGGAAUGGUUUGGCUUGCUUGUGAACUCUGGAGCUUAUCCUACUCUUUAACGGUUCAAAAGAUAGAGAGGUGAUACACGUGUGUUUCACAUUACUACUUUUCUCUAUUCUAUGGCUCCUCUCAUUCUUACAUUUAAGAAAAAAAUAAAAAAACAAAUAUAUAAAUAGUAUUUAUUACAAAAACAAGAUAUGAUUUGGAAUACUCAAUAAUUUAUCAUUUGACUAAUUCUCAUUUUCUGUAGUUAAUUGAACUCAAUCCCAAUUUUGAAUUUGGUUUUGAUAGAAAACUAUAUUUGAAUAGGUCUCCAAACUUAAAAUAAGCAC